GGCGCUGUACUUUAAGGCUAAAAGGUUUGUUUUGCGGGCGAAUAAUGAGGAUUUCCCUCUAGGGCCA
This 67-nucleotide transfer RNA is filed under the name Yininemertes pratensis. RNAcentral's name for it is "tRNA-Ala". The record is from RNAcentral. Lineage: Eukaryota; Metazoa; Nemertea; Pilidiophora; Heteronemertea; Lineidae.